Molecule: ribosomal RNA, 254 nt
Filed under: uncultured bacterium
Lineage: Bacteria
Description: partial 16S ribosomal RNA
Rfam family: Bacterial small subunit ribosomal RNA
Source: RNAcentral
UACAGAGGUCUCAAGCGUUGUUCGGAUUCAUUGGGCGUAAAGGGCGCGUAGGCGGCGGGGUCAGUCGGGUGUGAAAUCUUGGGGCUUAACCCCGAAACGGCACUCGAAACUGCCCGGCUGGAGGGCCGGAGAGGAGAUCGGAAUUCACGGUGUAGCAGUGAAAUGCGUAGAGAUCGUGAGGAAGACCCGUGGCGAAGGCGGAUCUCUGGACGGCUAACUGACGCUGAGGCGCGAAGGCCAGGGGAGCAAACGGG